This 401-nucleotide ribosomal RNA is filed under the name uncultured bacterium. RNAcentral describes it as "partial 16S ribosomal RNA". It matches the Rfam family "Bacterial small subunit ribosomal RNA", at positions 338 to 755 of the family's 1533-position model. The record is from RNAcentral.
CCUACGGGAGGCUGCAGUGGGGGAUAUUGCACAAUGGGGGGAACCCUGAUGCAGCGACGCCGCGUGGGUGAAGGAGUGCUUCGGCAUGUAAAGCCCUAUCGGCAGGGAAGAAGCAAGACGGUACCGGACGAAGAAGCCCCGGCUAACUCCGUGCCAGCAGCCGCGGGAAUACGUAGGGGGCGAGCGUUAUCCGGAUUCACUGGGUGUAAAGGGAGCGUAGACGGCCAUGCAAGCCAGGGGUGAAAGCCCGGGGCCCAACCCCGGGACUGCCCUUGGAACUGCAUGGCUGGAGUGCGGGCGGGGCAGGCGGAAUUCCUGGUGUCGCCGUGCAAUGCGUCGCUAUUAGGAGGAACACCAGUGGCGCAGGCGGCUUACUGGACUGUACCUGCCGUUGCGGCUCG